GAUGAACGCUGGCGGCGUGCUUAACACAUGCAAGUCGAACGAUGAAGCCCAGCUUGCUGGGUGGAUUAGUGGCGAACGGGUGAGUAACACGUGAGUAACCUGCCCUUAACUCUGGGAUAAGCCUGGGAAACUGGGUCUAAUACCGGAUAGGAGCGUCCACCGCAUGGUGGGUGUUGGAAAGAUUUAUCGGUUUUGGAUGGACUCGCGGCCUAUCAGCUUGUUGGUGAGGUAAUGGCUCACCAAGGCGACGACGGGUAGCCGGCCUGAGAGGGUGACCGGCCGCACUGGGACUGAGACACGGCCCAGACUCCUACGGGAGGCAGCAGUGGGGAAUAUUGCACAAUGGGCGCAAGCCUGAUGCAGCGACGCCGCGUGAGGGAUGACGGCCUUCGGGUUGUAAACCUCUUUCAGUAGGGAAGAAGCGAAAGUGACGGUACCUGCAGAAGAAGCACCGGCUAACUACGUG
Molecule: ribosomal RNA, 466 nt
Filed under: uncultured bacterium
Lineage: Bacteria
Description: partial 16S ribosomal RNA
Rfam family: Bacterial small subunit ribosomal RNA
Source: RNAcentral